UAUAUAUAUAUAUAUGUGUGUCUGUGUGUGUGUGGACUUUCCGAAUAUAUAAAAUAUGCAGAUACAAGAAUAUAUAGUGGGGUAUUUUAAAAAAUGGGACAAUUCCUAAAAAAAAAAAAUGAAAUUAUGGAUGCUUUAUGCCAAAAUGACAAAGUCAAAAGUCAACUUUUUCAAUGUGAUGGAAUUUAUAAAGGUAGUCUUGAUUACCAAGUUGCUACCAAGUUGUCCUUCCUCUCUCUUCACCUACCAUUUCUCUCUCAUCAUCUGGCUUUUGGGAAAACAAUUACACCAUUAACAGAGCUAAGGUAAGCACAGUCCCUCAAAAUUCUUCCUAUCUCCGGCGGAUUGUCCUUUCUUGUCACCUGUGCUGUCGAUCGAUUCAGAACUUCAUUGAUCCCGAUUGCCGCUACUUCACCUCCUCUUGGAUAGGAUCCGAAUGGGAAAAGCAGGUUCGCAAGUAUGCCGACGAUCGCUGCUCUGGUGGUUGUGGGUGUUUGUCUAUAUAAAUUAGAAGGGAAAAGCAGGAGCUUAAGGGCGGUUACCAUGCCUCCCAAAACAGGUAGAGGAGCCUCAGUUGCAAGCACAAAACCCCACAAAACAAAAGAUGCAUAUGCACAAUCAUCCUCUUCUCAAAACCCUCCCAAAAAAACCUGGUAUGAUAAAGUCGAGGAAGAUGAAGAAGCUAUGUAUGCUAGUCCAUCUCCAUUAAUUACAAACCAGUUUUCAGCCCUAGCCACAAUUUCCCAACAUGUCAUAGACAUGUCCCCAAUCCAGUAUGACCCCAUCCAAACAUACUUACAAUCCCAACAACCAGUUUUUCCUCCCCUUUAAAAAACUUAUGCUGCAAUUUCUUCAGCAUCAGAUAAACAAAUUUCUUCAAGAUCUGUUUCACAGCAAGUGGUGGUCAACAAUCCCACUCUUAAAAAAUCUCGUUAUUUUCAAAAACCAAAUUCAUCAACCAUUUGUGUGGUUGAAAAAGAACUUUUUAACCAAAGUCCAAUUUUACUUUCUCAAAAUCAUUUUGUCAAAGGUUUUCAUUAUCCAACAUCAGAUUUUCGGAAAACACAAAAUUUUUAUGAGUUUAUUUUAGUGGACACUGAUUCCAUCAAAAUUCGAACUCAUUCAAAACCGGGUGAUGAGUCUUUCAUUUCUCACACCACAUGUACCAUUUAAAAAGUCCUUACUCCGACAGCCUGGGGUAAAAACAUCAAUGCUCCGAGGCAAUUUUCUCAGCCUCGCAACCCUCAAACUUUCAAUUACUGGGAUUAUCAGGAUGCCUGGAACAAUACCUUUUAGUUCCAAAAUCAAGAUUAUAGCCAUUCAUGGCUUAUCCUUUUCCAAAAGAAUUUCAAUCUAAAUGUCCCCAGAUGAUUCAUUGACUGGUGGCAUAUGUUUGGUCCCUGCCAAGAAAUUAUCCCUGCAACAGUGUCUAAGGGAUUUUCAAUUUUCAAUGAAAAUUCCAAGCUCCUCCUGAGCUUUCCGAAUUUCCCAAAUCAUUCUUAUUUUUUGCAAAUUUCGCAUUGUCAUGGAUAGUUCUAUGGCAAUUCCAAAUCCUCAAAACCCCUUCUAAUCUUCCUCUUCUAGGAAGGAUUUUCAAAGUCAAAUGGUGGGACCAAUUCUCUAUCAAUCAUGUUACUCCAGAAGCAAUUUCAGAAUGGUUCUCAAAGCACCCUGCAAUAUCAUGUUCUGGCUUAGGAGAGUCUUUGGCUUUCCUCCUAUCCAAAAGCCAGGCCCAAGCAAAGCUUUCUUCAGCAAAAUCCCAAGAUGAGUAUGAAACCUCCUGAUAAGCGCCGAAUAUUGCAUAUUCAAGCGCCCUUAAUUGCAUUAUUUAAGUCCAUUGUUUGUUUAAUUAUGUAGAUUACCUUCAUAUGCACAUUUUUGCAUAUUUUCAGGUUCAUUGGCCAAAAAGAAGCAAGAAGGAUGCUUUGUGGAGUUUUGAACAUCAAAGGUCACAAUGCUGAAUUUCUGGCAACAGUGGAACCUGACUUUUGUCGCCAUUUUCGACCUAGCAAACUCAAGAACUGGACUUCCAUCAUAACAUGAAAGAUUUAGAGCUCUGAAUUAGCUUUCUAAAUCUUCAAACGGUUCGUCAUUUGGAGCUCGGAGCAGAGAGAGAGUUCUUUUCAAAUUUUCCAUCCAUUUGAAUGAGAGGAUGUUGCAACGUUUAAAUUUUUCCCAUACAUUGGCUUGAAUCCAUCAACAUUGCAUGCAUAGGAAUUUCAUGCUCCUCAAAAAUUUUAUCAUGAUCCGCAAAGUUCCUUGCUUGCAUGCAUUUCAUGCAUUUCUAUAUUUCAUGCAUAGUUGCAUGCAUUUCUCUGAUGCAUGCAUUCCUUCCUAUCCGAGCCCACUGCUCAAAUUCUUUAUACUUCCAUGUAUUAAUGAUCUCAUUCCUUGAACCAUCCAUGCAAACUCAUGCAUGGCCAUGCAACAGCAUUCAAGCUCCAUGCCAAGUGCUUUAGUUUUCAAGCUUCACUUUAAUUUGGCUGCAAUUUUUGAGCAAUCCCAUUUCCCAUUUGAGUGCUCGCAGCUUUCAAAGCAUCAAUCCUAGCUCACCGCCUCAAUUUAGAGCAAUCCAAUUUCCAUGUGGAGUGCUCGAAAUUCCUUGCAGCUGCAAUCAAGGUUCAACACCAAAAUCACGAGCCUACUGCCUUCAUUUAGAGCAUUCUAGCUCCCAUUUGGAGUGCUCUAAAUGUGAACCGAUCUUGCAUGCACUCACUGCCCAAUUUUAGAGCACUCUAAAUUCCAUUUGGAGUGCUCUAAAUUUUCAGCCCAACUUCCGCAGCUACUGCCUCAGAAUCGAGCACUCGUAGGCCAAGCUUCGAGUGCUCGAAACUUCACCAUUUCCUUACCCUGCUCGCUGCCUAAUUGUCGAGCACUCUAGAUCCCCUGUGGAGUGCUCGAAAAUUGCCAUUCCUCUCAUCUCCAACCAAAGCUCCCACAACCAAAACCACCGUCUCAUCAACCCAACUUUCUUUCUCAUUUCUCUCAACCCAAGUAACCCCACACAUCAUGCAUGCCACCCCUCGGCAAAACCAACCAACCCUCUCUAACCCCAUAACCUAGCACACACAGCAUUCUCUCUCUCUCUCCCCAACCAUCCCAACACUCAUCAUACAACUCCUUCUCUCUCUCACCUCACCACCAUCCCCUCAUGCAUGCCCAUCAUGCAUGCUCUUCUCUGUCUCUCAACCAACAUCACACACACCUCCCCAUCCACUCUUCACCACCCGGCAGCUUCACCCUCACCACCAUGCAAUCUCCACUAACCCGUCCCUCUUAACUAACCCACCACCAAGCCACCACCCACAACUCCACAUACCAACCCACCUCACAAACCAUGCUCGAACUCCACCAACCUGCACACCUCUCACUCUCGGCAUCCACCUAUAAACCAUGCCAACCCAAUCCUCACAGCAAACAAUCCCCUCUCGGCAUCUUUGCAUACCACCACAUCAACCAAACCAACUCCCAAGCCCCAUGCAUGCAUGCCCCUCACCAUGCACCAACCAUAUCAACCAAACCAACCUCACCUUCUCCAUCUCCCUCACCUGCAAACCACCAACUCAACCUCAACCCCACACACCAUCCUCCUCCCUCUCGGCAACUCCUCAACCAACCCACAUUAACCCACAACCAUGCAUGCACAACCUUCAUCUCAAACGCAUCAACCUCACCUCAUCAUCCUCAACCAGCAUCUCACCUCCCCAACCAACCACCAUCCCUCUUGGCCUCACACCAUUCAACCCACAUCUCACUCACUCACUGCCAAGACUUCGAGUACUCGAAGUCCCAUUUCGAGUGCUCGAAGUGUGAACCAACUACACCAUCCUCACAAUCCCGAACCCACUGCCCAAAACUCGAGCACUCCAACUCCCAUUUGGAGUGCUCGAGCCCAACACCAACCACUCAUCCCUCUUAACCGAGCCUCACCAACAUCCACACAAACCAACCAACCUACACACAACCCAUCUUUCUCUCUCUGCAACUCAACCACUCCAUCCCUCCAUAACCAAACCACCACACAAGGAAAUGCAUUCAUGCAUGCACCACCACUUUCACCCCACAUUUCCCACCAUGCAUGCACCUCUCUAUACAUGCUUAUCCAUUUCCUUCCACUCCCCAUGCCUGCUUACCCACCCAUCCAUCAAUCUCUCAUCCACAUCUUCCAUUAACCACAAAUAAUGGGCCUUGUGUUCUCCAUUGUUGGGUAAGUGUCUAACCCUCUUUUUCUUUCCAUUUUUUAUCAAUGGAGGAUGGGAUUGCUUGUGUGAAGGAUUUGUGAUUGUUUGGGAGUUGUGUAUUGCAUUUGCAGGGCCAAAUUUUUGGAUUUUCUCAUCUCUAAUCAACCUUUGGCCCUCUUCCUUUUUGUCUUGCACACCACGUGUUUGACGAAUUUCCUGAGCCAACUUCAUCUCUCUAAAUUCCCCACUUUUGGCCCUAUUUUGUUAUCUAUUUUAAACUUGUGGCUAAUGUCUGCAUUUGUGUUUUGUUUGGCUUUUUAUCUUGUACUAAAAUUCAGGUCUUCAUGUCCAAGUUUGGGGGACGCCGUUGCGUACUCACAUGGCUGCACAUCUACGUCGUCGUCACUCCACUUGGUAUUAUUGUUCUUUUCCCCCCUUUGCUCUUAUUUUGGUAUGCUUGUCUUCACACAUUGAGGACACUGUGUUAUUCAAGUUUGGGGGUGCAUUUAUGCAUUUUUUGUUUUGCAUUUUUGCUAAGCAAUGAUAGUAUAACUUGACACUAGUUGGAGAUGAAGCAUAUGUUUAAUACCUUGUGUAUAGAAGUAAUUGACAUUUUUGAAAAUAAAGAAAAAUUUGAGUUGAAAUGAUCAUGUGGAUUCAAAUUAGUCUGUAUAAAUGUCUCAAUUAGAUUCUUACUGGAUUUGACACUCUUUUAAGCUUCACAAUGCACAUAUGCACAUUGGAAACUAAACUGUGAGGCAUGCAACUUGAUCGACCUUGACCUUGGCCUAGUUAAUUUGAUUUGAUGAACCUGAUAAAUGAAUAUCUUUGGCAUGAUAUAAGUUGUCAAAAAAAAAAAAAAAAAAAUUGAAGAUGAGAAAGAAAGAAAAUAAUGACCAGUUGACGUUCGUAGCCUUUCCAACUCGAACUAUUAAGCCCUAGGAGUGUCUCUACACUUAGCACCCUAAAGCCGUCUGGUUUGGGAGUUGUUGGCCUAACGCUUGUUAUAUGGGUUGGUUAGAAAGCUUAAAGGACUUAAACAUUGCACGGUCAUUCAAAAAAUAAACUGGUAAUAAACAUGGUUCGUUGGAGUUCGUAGCCUUUCCAACUUGAGCUAUUAAGCCCUAUGGAGUGUCUCUACACUUAACACCCUAAAGCCAUCUGGUUUGGGAGUUGUUGGCCUAACGCUUGCUACAUAGGUUGGUUAGAAAACUUAAGGGACUUCAGCAUUGCACAACCAUUCUAUGUUUCGCUUCUGAGUUACAAUAAAUUGUCAACAAGCAACAAAAGUUGUCUUGUAAAUAAAAUCAUGCCUUAGGGACCUCAUUUAAAGGGGAAUUCAAUGAUUUGAAAACUUGUGCUUUGGAAUUGGAAAAGAAAGUAAAAGCCGCAUGUUGAGAAUCCAAUUCAUUUUCACUGAAGUUAGAGUUGAUUUCCAUUCAAGAGAUGAUAAUUGAGUUAUUUAUAUAGUCUAUGAUGUUGAUACAUACAUGUUGAAAUGUGUUUAGUAUCAAUGCUUCAUAUAUGCAAAGUAGUCUUCCCAAUGACCCCAUCUCCAGUUUUUUGUUGUUUCAAAUUGUAUUUGAGCUAUGUUUGCACUUCAUUUCACCAUGGAUGAUAUUUUUGUAGUAGCAUGCCCAUGGUUGUAUUUUCAUUGAAGUAUUCAUUUUGGUUUUGCUAAGGGACUAGCAAAAUGUAAGUUUGGGGGUGUGAUAAGCGCCGAAUAUUGCAUAUUCAAGCGGCCUUAAUUGCAUUAUUUAAGUCCAUUGUUUGUUGAAUUAUGUAGAUUACCUUCAUAUGCACGUUUUUGCAUAUUUUCAGGUUCAUUGGCUAAAAAGAAGCAAGAAGGAUGCUUUGUGGAGUUUUGAACAUCAAAGGUCACAAUGCUGAAUUUCUGGCAAAAGUGGAACCUGACUUUUGUCGCCAUUUUCGACCUAGCAAACUUAAGAACUGGACUUCUAUCAUAACAUGAAAGAUUUAGAGCUCUGAAUUAGCUUUCUAAAUCUUCAAAUGGUUUGUCAUUCGGAGCUCGGAGCAGAGAGUUAUGGCCUUGUUACCAGAGGUGCGCAGAACUGUCUGGCAGCACUAAAGUACUGCCUUUCUCCCCAUUUUCGACCAACCAGACUUGAGAUUUGGGUCUUCAUCAAAACAUGAAGUUUUUAAAUCUCUGAAUCAUCUCUCCAAAUCUUCAAACGGUUCGUCAUUCGGAGUUCAAAGCGCAAAGUUAUGGCCAUUUCAUCAAAGUAGGUCUGGGCGGAGCAAGUGAAGCAUGGAGCUUUUUACACUAAAUUCGUGUGCUCGAGGCCCUAUUUCGAGCACUCGAAAUUUGGGCAGUUUGCUCCACGAGACAGCCCACUUGUGCUCUGAAAUUUCCAAUUGUGGAUGGCCCUCUUUUAUGAGGUGGUUGGGGAUGUUUUUGGAGGAGAGAGAGAGCCUAGUUUGGUGGUAGAUAAGAGGGAUAAGAGCCACACAUCUCAUAAGCUUCAUUCUACAAGAUUAGAGGAGAAAGAAGAGAGCAAGGGGAUAGAGUUCUUCAAGCUUGAAGAAGGGAGCACGAAAAUGGAGGAGGUUUUCAAGCUUCUUCCUUCCUCCAUUGCUCCUAUGGGUAACUAAAUCUUCUCUAGGGAGGUGAUGAAGCUCCUCCCUUGUAAGCAUGUGCUAGUGUAGAUUUUAUUUUGGGGAGAACAAUGUAUAGUUUUUGGUUAUUUUAUGAUCUAGAGCAUCAUAUUUGUUGUAAUGAACUUUAAUGUCUAUACAUGAUUAUUUUGAGUUA
This is a long non-coding RNA of Cornus florida, 6954 nucleotides long. RefSeq lists it as uncharacterized. NCBI's taxonomy places the organism in Eukaryota, Viridiplantae, Streptophyta, Magnoliopsida, Cornales, Cornaceae. The record is from RefSeq and is a predicted model, not a curated record. The transcript is spliced from 2 exons.